RNAcentral lists this non-coding RNA (183 nucleotides) under Gammaproteobacteria bacterium. RNAcentral describes it as "6S RNA". It matches the Rfam family "6S / SsrS RNA". From Rfam's summary of the family: E. coli 6S RNA was the first non coding RNA to be sequenced, but its function was unknown until recently. Lineage: Bacteria; Pseudomonadati; Pseudomonadota; Gammaproteobacteria. The record is from RNAcentral.
UGCCAUCUGUACUGUUUGCGACCGAUUAAGAUCCUGGUCCGAUAGUUACUAACUAAGGGAACUUUAGUUGCGAUAUCGGCGUGAAUGCCCAGCUUGACUGGGAAUCCCAAGAUACUGCACGAGGUGCCCACCUGAAUCUCACGGUUCAGGACGCUAUAAAGGCGCGGCAGUGGCGGUUGGCAC